Molecule: long non-coding RNA, 3590 nt
Organism: Oncorhynchus tshawytscha (Chinook salmon)
Lineage: Eukaryota; Metazoa; Chordata; Actinopteri; Salmoniformes; Salmonidae
Source: Ensembl
CAUACUUUGAAUAAUGUAGUGUAUCUUUGAAUAUGUGCCUUCAGAAAAUAUUCAUACCCCUUGACUUAUUCCAUAUUUUGUUUUACAGCCUGAAUUCAAAAUUGAUUAAAUAGUUUCUUUUUCUCACAGAUCUACAUACAAUAGCCCAUAAUGACGAAGUGAAAACAUGUUCUUAGAAAUGUUUGCAAAUUUAUUGAAAAUGAAAUGCAGAAAUAUCUAAUUUACAUAAGUAUUUACACCCCUGAGUCAAUACUUUGUAGAAGCACCACUGACAGUGAGUCUUUCUGGGUAAAUCUCUAAGAGCUAUGAGUCUUUCUGGGUAAAUCUCUAAGAGCUUUCCACAUGUGGAUUGUGUAACAUUUGCCCAUUUAUAAUUUUCAAAAUUCUUUAAGCUCAGUCAAAUUGGUUGUUGAUCAUUGCUAGACAAAUUUAUUUGAAAAUCUAUAUCAAGAACAGGAUUCAAUCAAAACUGUAACUAGGCCAUUCAGGAACAUUCCAUGACGUCUUGGUAAGCAACUCCAGUGUGUAAAUGGCCUUAUGUUUUAGGUUAUUGUCCUGCUGAAAGGUGAUUUCAUCUCCCAGUGUCUGUUGGAAAGCAGACUGAACCAGGUUUUCCUCUAGGAUUUUGCCUGUGUUUAGCUCAAUUCCAUUUCUUUUUUAUCCUGAAAAACUACCUAGUCCUAAAGGAUUUCAAGCAUACCCAUAACAUGAUGCAGCCACCACCAUGCUUCAAAAUAUGAAGAGUGGUACUCUGUAAUGUGUUGUAUUUCCCCAAACAUAAUGCUUUGUAUUCAGGACAAAAAGUUCAUGUCUUUGACACAUUUUUUGCCGUUUUACUUAAGUGCCUUGGUUUGGAAUAUUUGUAUUCUGUACAUGCGUCCUUCUUUUCCCUCUGGCCCUUCUUUGCGAGGCUGUGGAAAACCUCCCUGGUCUUUGUGGUUGAAUCUGUGUUUGAAAUUCACUGCUCAACUGAGAGACCUUACAGAUAAUUGUGUAUGUGGGGUACAGAGAUGAGGUAGUCAUUCAAAAAUCACGUUAAACACUAUUAUUGAACACAGAGUGAGUCCAUGCAACUUAUUAUGUGACUUGUUAAGCACACGUUUACUCCUGAACUUAUUUAGACUUCCCAUAACAAAGGGGUUGAAAACUUAUUGACUCAAGACAUUUCAGCUUUUCAUUUUUUAUUCAUUUGUAAACAUUUCUAAAAAAAACAACAUAUUUCCACUUUGACAUUAUGGGGUAUUGUGUGUAGUCCAGUGACAAAAUCUCAAUUGAAUCCAUUUUAAAUUCCAUCUGUAACAGAACAGCAUGUGGAGUGAAUAUACACCGAGUAUAAAAAGCAUUGCUGAAUCCAGGUAAAACCUAUGAUGUUUUUAUCGAUUCGAAAUCCACUUUAGUCAAGUGUAGAUGAAGAGAAGGAUACAGAUUAAAGAAGGAUUCAGAUUAAAGAAGGAUUCAGAUUAGAGAAGGAUUCUUGAGCCUUGGUGUAUCAGUGCCAUUCAGAAGGUGAACGGACAAGACUAAAUAUUGAAUUGCCUUUGAACAGUAUGGUAGUAGGUGCCAGGCGCACCGGUUUGUGUCAAGAACUUCCAACGCUGCUUUUUCACGCUCAACCGUUUCCUGUUUGUAUUAAGAAUGGUCCACCAAGCAAAGGAGGUCCAACCAACUUCACACAACUGUGGGAAGCAUUGGAGUCAACAUGGGCCAGCAUCACUGUGGAACGCUUUCCGUAGAGUCCAUAACCUGACGAAUUGAGGCCAUUCUGAGGGCAAGAGGGGGGUGCAAUUGAAUGUUAGGAAGGUGUUCCUAAUGUUUUGUCCACUGUGUAUAUAGCAGGUCUGUGUGGGUGUGUGAGGUACAGGGACUGAGAAAGUGUUUGUUAAGCGAAUGAAUGAGUAUGUGUUGUAGUACUGAUGUGGUUGAUGAGCAUUCUGUUUACAUCUCAGUAUGAUAAGGAAUAGAUCGAAAACAGUUUGGCAAACUACCCUCCACAUUGACACCAAACUACCCUCCAUAUUGACACCACACUGUCCUCCACAAUGACACCAAACUACCCUCCACAUUGACACCAAACUACCCUCCACAUUGACACCACACUACCCUCCACAUUGACACCACACUACCCUCCACAUUGACACCACACUACCCUCCGCAUUGACACCAAACUACCCUCCGUAUUGACACCACACUACCCUCCGCAUUGACACCACACUACCCUCCGUAUUGACACCACACUACCCUCCGUAUUGACACCAAACUACCCUCCGCAUUGACACCAAACUACCCUCCGCAUUGACACCACACUACCCUCCGUAUUGACACCAAACUACCCUCCGCAUUGACACCACACUACCCUCCGCAUUGACACCACACUACCCUCCGCAUUGACACCACACUACCCUCCGCAUUGACACCACACUACCCUCCACAUUGACACCACACUACCCUCCACAUUGACACCACACUACUCUCCACAUUGACACCACACUACUCUCCACAUUGACACCACACUACCUUCCAGACACCAAACUACCAUCCAGUGACAAACUACCCUCUAUAUUGACACCAAACGACCAUCCAUAUUGACACCAAACUACCAUCCAUAUUGACACCAAACUACCCUCCACAUUGACACCAAAUUGUCCUCCAUAUUGACACCACACUGUCCUCCAGACACCAAACUACCAUCCACAGUGACAAACUACCCUCCACAUUGACACCAAAUUGUCCUCCAUAUUGACACCACACUGCCCUCCAUAAUGACACCACACUGUCCUCCAUAGACACCAAACUACCCUCCAUAUUGACACCAAACUACCCUCCAUAUUGACACCAAACUACCCUCCAUAUUGACACCAAACUACCCUCCAUAGACACCAAACUACCCUCCAUAGACACCAAACUACCCUCCAUAUUACAUCUCAGUACUUUACUUUGGUGCCAAAAUGGCAGCCGUUGUAAUUCUACAUGUGAAACCGUUUGCUGAAUCCUGUUGAAUCUAUCCCAGUAUCAGAAUGUCAGCAGCAAGCCAGCCUUACAGCACAGUGCUUUUCAACCGUAGAAAUAGAAUUACUAGAAUGGUCAUCCACAUUCGGGUAUGUGACGGGUGGUGCCGUGCCUUGAGUGUACCCAAUGGGGGUGCAGUUCAAUUGCCAUUUUCUGAAGGUCUGUUAAACCAUCCCAGUGAUGUUGUAUUUCUUUUGUUUUUAACCUGGUACUUUACCUGAUCCUGAAUUUCAUAAGGUAACCUAGUGGUCACUUUCUAAUGGGGGUGUCAAGUCAAAUGUGACUUAAGUGGAGGUUGGUUUUCUUUCUCUCUGCGUUUACCUGCUUUGUGUCGUUACAUACUGUAUAACUGGAUGUUCCAUACAGGCUUUUUAAUCCAAAUAAACAUGUUUUAAUACUAGCGGUUCUGGAAACUUCUCUGGUGGUUGGCAAAGGCAGGAAGUCGUCUACAAGUAACCAAUCAACGACCGGUAGUCAAGAUGGCGUCUACAAGUAACCAAUCAACGACCGGUAGUCAAGAUGGCGUCUACAAGUAACCAAUCAACGACCGGUAGUCAAGAUGGCGUCUACAAGUAACCAAUCAA